GCCAGGUUUAGUGGCGGUUGCCUGUAAUCCCAGCUACUUGGGAGGCUGAGACAGGAGAAUCACUUGAACCUGGGAGUUGGAGGUUGCAGUCAGCAACUCCAACUGGGCGUUGCUACUGCACUCCAGCCUGGGCGACAGAGUGAGACUCUGUCUCUC
This 156-nucleotide non-coding RNA is filed under the name Chlorocebus sabaeus (green monkey). Lineage: Eukaryota; Metazoa; Chordata; Mammalia; Primates; Cercopithecidae. The record is from Rfam by way of RNAcentral.